RNAcentral lists this long non-coding RNA (2447 nucleotides) under Homo sapiens (human). RNAcentral describes it as "HSALNT0068476". Lineage: Eukaryota; Metazoa; Chordata; Mammalia; Primates; Hominidae. The record is from RNAcentral.
GAACUUACUGAAAUAAAACCAACAGAAUCGUCAAUGAAACACCGAUCUGGCCUUAAGGUGACCUCAAACAACGCGUCCUCGGAAACAAUGACAUGUCCCUAUCUCUGGGCCGCUGAUCCUGGAGGGGAGAGGCACAUUUGGGGGAGGGGGCUGGGAAAAGAGGAAAGUUCCUGGAGGUGGACUCUAGUGUGGGACUUGAGAACUCUUCUUUUGCCAAUUUCGGAGAAAACGUGAUUUAAUGUUUGCUGUUAAUAAUAAUAAUAAUAAUAAAGACAGAAAAAAUGAGUUGGGGUCAGGGGAGAUGCAAGAUCUGCCUGAAGCGGGGUCGGGGCUUGGCCAUUUUCUGCGCCUGUCGCUUUAUGGCCUCUCCUCCUGCGGCCCAGGCCAGCGGCUCUCAGGGAGUGAGCGGAGGUGAUUGGCGGCUCACUCGGCCCUGCCAUUGAUGACUGCGGGGUUCUAAUCUCCAGGAAACACAAGGGGCUGCCGUGGCCAUUUAGGGGCCGCCGAGAUAUGCUGAGGCCUGGGGAAGUUCGGGAAUACCGGCAUCUGAAUUUUACGCACAUCUCCAGGUUUCUAAAGGACCCAAGACUGCAACUCAGGCACUGGGCAGUGGUUGGGGCUUCUAGCUCGAGUUGGGCCGGCUGGACGCGCGGUGCACCGGGGCCUCCGGAGGUUUGCCCGAGAGGGUACAAGGAUAGAAGACCUUAAGACCCAAUUUUGAAGCUCAGCUCGCUGAGGCUGAGCAAGGCUGUAGGGCAAAUACCUUGCUGGUAGCCCAGCCAGGACAGCGAACAACAGCAUCUUCCUCUUCUUCCUCUUCUUCUUCUUCUUCCUCUUCCUCUUUUUCUUCCUCUUUUCUCCUCCUCCUCAUCCUCCUCUUCCUCCUCUCCUCCUCAUCUCCUCCUCCUCCUCCUCCUUCUUCUUCCUCUUCCUCUUCUUUGAGACGGAGUUUUGCUCUUGUCGCCCAGGCUGGAGUGCAAUGGCGCGAUCUCAGUUCACUCCAACCUCCGCCUCCCAGGUUCAAGCGAUUCCAGGACGGCGAACUUCUAUUGCUCCCGUUCUAAUCAAACUCUCGUCAGAACAACCCCCUCCGCACCCAGCCAGAAUCUCCCUUUGUGGCCAGGUUAAAGGGGGAGAGGAAACAGAGGCCUAUCUGCUUUUGGGGCCAUUUAAAAAGCGAGCAGUGUGCCUUUUCGAGUCUUUGCUUAGUUCCGCCCUCGCCCUCCUUCUGCAAAUGUUUUGCUCCCAGGUCUCUUUAAGAAUCUGAUACAGCCAAGAACUUCUUCCCUAGAAAAAUGCACACCUACAAAAACACAUUACAAGCAACGGGGCAGACAACUUCGGGGGCUCUGGUCCCAAGUGGAGUCCUCCAGUUCGGCCUGGGUUCGUGUCUGCUGUCGCCCCGCGCGGCAGGUUAACCGCGUGUAAACGUUGCUAGGCGAGAAGAGUGCAUCGGCAGAGAAGGGGGUUCAGACUCAAUUCCGUGUCAGAAAAGCGCGGGGCUUUCCCAUUGCUCUGCCCCUGGAUUGCGAGAGAAAGAAAGGUGCCGGCAGUCUCAAGAGAAAGGAGUCAGAUAAAAGAAAUAAAAUGUCUGCCUGUUUCCCAGGGCGUUGUUUGUUCCCGCGGGAGGAAAGCCACGAGUUACAGGGGCAGUGAGAGGGAGACUUCUCUGAGUUAUUUUUUGUCUAGGACUUUACCGAUUUCCCGGCCCAGGGGUUCAGCGAGCAGGCAGGCCCUGGGGCUGAGCCUGUUAUCUCGCCGCCAGCUCUAACCUCGAGGCGUUUGUACCCCCGGCAUUUCUCUGCGCUGCCGCUGCAGCCGAGAAAGCCGGGCAGUAAUUCAUGCCUGGCAAGGGCAGGGCUGGCCCCAGCAGAUAAAGCUCGGGGACUGGCGCUCCGCUUCCAUCCUCUAGACUUCUCUCCCCUCCCCUCUCGCUCCAUCUCCCCUCAUUUUCAGGCAUCCUAAAGCACUCCCCGCCCCCAAGUAGAGGGCCUCUGCAUUUCGGAUCCUGAAGAUGGAUUAUCCUUCGUCUACUUUCUGGGCAACUAAACUGGUGGUGGGUUUAGCUGGUUUUUUUUUUCCCCCAAAAUUUUGCGGGGGUUGGGGGGAUGGAGGCAGGGAUGGUGGUGUUGCUAAGUAUACACCACUCCCGUGCAAAGAUUAAUUUUUAGAAGGACCCCGUCCUAAAGACGGUUAUCCCUAUCUGGGUAUUGCUGCACCGGUUGGAAGAGCCUGGAGGCUGACUUCUCACUUCGGCAUUUGUUGUCGCCUCCGUCGGGUUUUUGUUUAUGCUCCCUCCCUCUCUUUCCACUGCAUUUUGUGACCUCGGCCCAGGAAUCCCGCGUGCAUUUUUUAAAAAUGUGCAGCUCAGUGGGAUCCCCCGGCAAUUAGCGAGCCCCAAACAGUCCUCUUUAAUAGAAUGAAUGUGCUAUGAAAACCGAUUACCC